AUAUAUAUAUAUUUAUUUAUUUUUACAUUCUCUUAUCUACAGACAGUUCUACCAGUAUCACCAGCCGUUGUUUCAUUUCUCUUAUCCUCUAAUCUGUCAACCUCCUGCUUACGUGCAUCUUGUCAUUAUCCAGGAUUAAUUUUUAAUCAGCCUUUCCAAAUUUAUCCCGAUAAUCAGCUUUAGUUUUUAAUACCUUAUUUUUAUACCUACGUGACGACUGGUGAAGACAAGCCAAUUUUUAACAUAAUUUAAAAAACAAUGGUAUGUUCACGUGUUUAUUUAUUUCUCAUAAAUUAUCAUUAAUUUUUAUGGAAUUAGAUAGAAAAAAAAUCCCGAAAGUCGUCCGAGCGGAUACUAUGGCGGGUUAGAUUUUUCUAAUCGCACAUGAAUAACCAACUCAUAGAGGCAGUGACAUAUAGAGCAGUCACCACAUCAUAACCAUAGCGUGACGUCACACACGCUCGAUUUCAACCAAUCAGAUAGCCAGAAAUCGUUCCGGAGACAAUGGAUUCGUGUUCAGAAGAAAUUUAUCAGCUUUUUGGUAGACAAUGACAUCCGAAGACAUUGGCAAGGAUGACAUGUUUUUCUGCUCGUUUGUUCAAACAUAAGGGAACACCCUACAUUAAGUUAAGUGGGCGUUAAUGCACGGUAUAUUACAUAAAGAAAAUGGAUUUUUGCCUUAUUCGUAAUCACUCGUAUCAUAUUAAAUGAGUUUAAUAACAUCAAAUUUGUUAUCGAUCUGUUGACGUUUGUUCUAAUUAAACGAGAGAGAGAUUUUGCUUAAUAAUCGGUAGGCGAAAUUGUUAUUAGCAUCUCAUUCCUAUUGAUAAAUUGUUUCGAGGCUGUUUUAAUGUCAACAGUAUAUUAUUAGUUGAAUCGCAAAGAGGCAUAUGUGUGUACAGCAGCUCGUCUUGAAAUGAAAGGCUAGAGCUGACAAUAGAACCAUCUGGUGAGCAGUGGGACAAUCAACUUCAUUAAUAUUACUUGGCAGGUAUCAAGCCGGGUGCUGGUCCAGUCUCUCUCUCUCUAUCCAGGGGCUUAUCACUCUGUAAAUACCGUAUUCGUGCUUUAUAAGUAGAAGAAUCUUACCUACCACCGAACUGUUUAUUUUCUAGAUAAAGUUUUAACUCUUUAACCAUGCGUGAGAAAAGUUUAGUGUCUUGUAACUAUCUCUCAAAAACCAAGGCUAAUAUGAAACAAUGGAUUUUUUACGCCAGGCGUUGAAAGGAUGAUUUUUAUCGUUACUUUAUUUUAAAUUUAAGAUUUUUUUACGCGUAGUGUUAGAGGUUAAGCCCAUCUACUAGCGGCAAAUGUGAUGAGGCAUGAUGGGACGUGAGGUGGAAUGGAACGAAAUCCACCCCCGCGGACCAACUUUGGCAGACCCUUGGGUUAGUCUUAUACCGACUCCCAGAAGAUUUGUUUGGCUUUAAAAGAAAUUUAUGUGCCCCAGAGGCUGUCUUGACUCGCUUUUCCCUCUUCCAAGCAAUGAAAGGACUGCUUUUGGGGGACCUAGGGAUUCUGAAGUCUGUUCCCCGAAUGUCACCGAUUCCACUCAACCAUCUAUUUAUGUAUAGUUUCUUAUGGAAGAACUCUAGAAAUACUUUCACUCGGUAACUGGAUGAUAAAUUCAUAAAGAAAGAUGCCAGAAAUAGGAAAAUUUGCUGAUAAAGUCGCCGAGGGGAAAAUGUCACCGAAAAAAUUGCAUAAAAACGGUUAAAUUAGAUACUACAAGAACUUCGAGAGAAUAAUUUCUCUUUCUCUUGUUGUUGCUGCAGACUUCUUGCGAAAUCGUAAUGAAAAAUUUUGUUUACAAUAUUGAAAUAACUAUUACAAAAAUUGUGUGAUCAUGUUAAAUAAUUUUAGUAAAUAAAAUUAUCUCUGAAAAGUAAAAGAAAAAUCUUUCGAAAUCCCCAUACGAUUAAAAAGCAGAUUUUAGCAUUGUAGCAAUCGAUAAAUAUUCUUUUGCAGCACGAAUUCUUUGUUUCGUACAUGAAUAUUUUAUGGUACUUGGGACUAUAGAACAUAAGACGAGCCUAUUAACGUAUUUCUCGAUAUAUAGGAUAAGUCAAACAAGAACUGAAAAGGGAUGCGUGCCAAAAAAGCUUAUUACGAAAACCUUGAUACACCUUCAUUCUUUCUAAGCUGACUUGUGUUGCGGAUAAAGUAAAUACUUAAGAACUGUUUCAUCUCUUAUCAACAAGUAUUAAGCUACUUGCUUUCUAUACUUUUCUUCGGUCAUUUUUUCACGUAGCAUGGUAGAUGGGAAGGAAUACCGUGUCUGUGGUCAGUGUGGUCAGUUAGCCAAUCAGCACUACGCUAGUCCCUGACAGACUCAUUCUUCCUGAUGCCAAGUCUCCAAUCCAUUCAUUCACUUUUAGGAUGUGCUAUUUUUUUCCUUUUCUUCUUUCUCUUUUCUUUCCAUUCACUUCUUUCCUAGAAGAAAAAUUUUCUCGGUUACUACGAUUAUUUAGCAUCUUUUUACUCUCUUAUAUAAUUCACCAAACCUUUGGACUUUCUUAUCUUAUGACUAUGACAUUGUUUCCGAUUUUUAUUUGUCUCGCCUACUUCCUGUUAGUCUAUAUAAAUAGACAAGAUAUCUAUAAUCCCA
Molecule: long non-coding RNA, 2608 nt
Filed under: Androctonus crassicauda
Lineage: Eukaryota; Metazoa; Arthropoda; Arachnida; Scorpiones; Buthidae
Source: RNAcentral